Molecule: ribosomal RNA, 609 nt
Filed under: uncultured bacterium
Lineage: Bacteria
Description: bacterial SSU rRNA
Rfam family: Bacterial small subunit ribosomal RNA
Source: RNAcentral
CCUACGGGAGGCAGCAGUGGGGAAUAUUGGACAAUGGGCGCAAGCCUGAUCCAGCAAUGCCGCGUGAGUGAUGAAGGCCUUAGGGUCGUAAAGCUCUUUUACCAGGGAUGAUAAUGACAGUACCUGGAGAAUAAGCUCCGGCUAACUCCGUGCCAGCAGCCGCGGUAAUACGGAGGGAGCUAGCGUUGUUCGGAAUUACUGGGCGUAAAGCGUACGUAGGCGGUUAUUCAAGUCAGAGGUGAAAGCCCGGGGCUCAACCCCGGAACGGCCUUUGAAACUAGGUAGCUAGAAUCUUGGAGAGGUCAGUGGAAUUCCGAGUGUAGAGGUGAAAUUCGUAGAUAUUCGGAAGAACACCAGUGGCGAAGGCGACUGACUGGACAAGUAUUGACGCUGAGGUACGAAAGCGUGGGGAGCAAACAGGAUUAGAUACCCAGGUAGUCCACGCCGUAAACGAUGAUAACUAGCUGUCCGGGCACUUGGUGCCUGGGUGGCGCAGCUAACGCAUUAAGUUAUCCGCCUGGGGAGUACGGUCGCAAGAUUAAAAACUUAAAAUAGUAAUAGUACGGCGUGAGACGNGCCGAACGGACGACCGACGAAGGGGAAGGUAGG